RNAcentral lists this transfer RNA (295 nucleotides) under Acidocella aromatica. Its description in RNAcentral is "tRNA-OTHER". Lineage: Bacteria; Pseudomonadati; Pseudomonadota; Alphaproteobacteria; Acetobacterales; Acidocellaceae. The record is from RNAcentral.
GUCCGCGUAGCUCAGCAGGAUAGAGCACAGGAUUCCUUUUUAAUUGGGCGUUGCACUUGGAAACUGUGCAAUGGAUUUGCUCAAAGUCGGGGAACGCUACGGCGCUUAGGCGCCUUGCCAAUCCCGAGCCAAGCCUCGCAAGAGGAAGGUGUAGAGACUGGAUGGGCAACACCUAACGGGCUUCGGUCCCAUGGUGAAGGGACAGUCCAGACCACGAACGCCCGAAAGGGCGGCGGUGAAAGCCGAAGUGGUAUGAAUCCUGGGGUCGUGGGUUCGAAUCCCGCCGCGGACGCCA